CGCCAGACUCCUACGGGAGGCAGCAGUGGGGAAUAUUGGACAAUGGGGGGAACCCUGAUCCAGCGACGCCGCGUGAGUGAAGAAGUAUUUCGGUAUGUAAAGCUCUAUCAGCAGGGAAGAAAGAAAUGACGGUACCUGACUAAGAAGCCCCGGCUAACUACGUGCCAGCAGCCGCGGUAAUACGUAGGGGGCAAGCGUUAUCCGGAUUUACUGGGUGUAAAGGGAGCGUAGACGGCGAUGCAAGUCUGAAGUGAAAGGCGGGGGCCCAACCCCCGGACUGCAUUGGAAACUGCGAGGCUGGAGUGUCGGAGAGGCAGGCGGAAUUCCUAGUGUAGCGGUGAAAUGCGUAGAUAUUAGGAGGAACACCAGUGGCGAAGGCGGCCUGCUGGACGAUGACUGACGCUGAGGCUCGAAAGCGUGGGGAGCAAACAGGAUUAGAUACCCUGGUAUAC
RNAcentral lists this ribosomal RNA (452 nucleotides) under uncultured bacterium. RNAcentral's name for it is "partial 16S ribosomal RNA". It matches the Rfam family "Bacterial small subunit ribosomal RNA", at positions 329 to 795 of the family's 1533-position model. The record is from RNAcentral.